This 283-nucleotide long non-coding RNA is filed under the name Gossypium barbadense (sea-island cotton). RNAcentral's name for it is "long non-coding RNA (GBAR_LNC014963)". The record is from RNAcentral. Lineage: Eukaryota; Viridiplantae; Streptophyta; Magnoliopsida; Malvales; Malvaceae.
UUCAACUCAAACAUGAAAUUGGUGGAGAAUUAUGAUCAAGUAACACUCUAUACUUCACCUAGAAGACGAUCGAAUGCAUACUACCAUAGUGGUGUUCGGAAUAACCUCAAACAAAAUUGAAAUUAUAAAAUUUGUUUGCAUAUUUGUAUAAAUUUGAAUUAAGUGAAAAACGAGCCUUAGAAUGAUAUUCGGGGCCCAAAAUAUUAAAAACAAGGGACAAGUACUAAUACCUAGCCUAUUUGUAAUGAUACAUGUAGCAAAUAUUCGAAACAGUUUUGGCUCC